UACGGAGGGGGCAAGCGUUGUUCGGAAUUACUGGGCGUAAAGGGCGCGCAGGCGGCUGCUCAAGUCAGGCGUGAAAGGCCUGGGCUCAACCCGGGAAUUGCGCUUGAGACUGGGCUGGCUUGAGUGCGGGAGAGGAUGGUGGAAUUCCCAGUGUAGAGGUGAAAUUCGUAGAUAUUGGGAAGAACACCGGUGGCGAAGGCGGCCAUCUGGACCGCAACUGACGCUGAGGCGCGAAAAGCGUGGGGAGCAAACAGG
This 255-nucleotide ribosomal RNA is filed under the name uncultured bacterium. Its description in RNAcentral is "partial 16S ribosomal RNA". It matches the Rfam family "Bacterial small subunit ribosomal RNA", at positions 524 to 776 of the family's 1533-position model. The record is from RNAcentral.